AAUCCAUAGGUUAAUGAGGCGAACCGGGGGAACUGAAACAUCUAAGUACCCCGAGGAAAAGAAAUCAACCGAGAUUCCCCCAGUAGCGGCGAGCGAACGGGGAGGAGCCCAGAGCCUGAAUCAGCAUGUGUGUUAGUGGAAGCGUCUGGAAAGGCGCGCGAUACAGGGUGACAGCCCCGUACACAAAAGCGCAUGUGCUGUGAGCUCGAUGAGUAGGGCGGGACACGUGGUAUCCUGUCUGAAUAUGGGGGGACCAUCCUCCAAGGCUAAAUACUCCUGACUGACCGAUAGUGAACCAGUACCGUGAGGGAAAGGCGAAAAGAACCCCGGCGAGGGGAGUGAAAAAGAACCUGAAACCGUGUACGUACAAGCAGUGGGAGCCCCACCACCAAAGCAUUCUCUGGUGUUGAAGGCCCUGCAAAGCAGCAUCGCGGUGGCGGAGCGUCGUUUGCGACGCCCAACACACAAAACAAGCGGUGAGUGCUUUGGGGUGGGGUGACUGCGUACCUUUUGUAUAAUGGGUCAGCGACUUAUAUUCUGUAGCAAGGUUAACCGUAUAGGGGAGCCGUAGGGAAACCGAGUCUUAACCGGGCGUUAAGUUGCAGGGUAUAGACCCGAAACCCGGUGAUCUAGCCAUGGGCAGGUUGAAGGUUGGGUAACACUAACUGGAGGACCGAACCGACUAAUGUUGAAAAAUUAGCGGAUGACCUGUGGCUGGGGGUGAAAGGCCAAUCAAACCGGGAGAUAGCUGGUUCUCCCCGAAAGCUAUUUAGGUAGCGCCUCGUGAAUUCAUCUCCGGGGGUAGAGCACUGUUUCGGCUAGGGGGCCAUCCCGGCUUACCAACCCGAUGCAAACUGCGAAUACCGGAGAAUGUUAUCACGGGAGACACACGGCGGGUGCUAACGUCCGUCGUGAAGAGGGAAACAACCCAGACCGCCAGCUAAGGUCCCAAAGUCAUGGUUAAGUGGGAAACGAUGUGGGAAGGCCCAGACAGCCAGGAUGUUGGCUUAGAAGCAGCCAUCAUUUAAAGAAAGCGUAAUAGCUCACUGGUCGAGUCGGCCUGCGCGGAAGAUGUAACGGGGCUAAACCAUGCACCGAAGCUGCGGCAGCGAACGUAUCACUUAAAGCGAUUCAGCGGGUUACGAUUGACGGAGCGAAGCGACGUCAAAGCGUAUACAAAGUCGAGUCGGUUUAAGGAUACGUU
Molecule: ribosomal RNA, 1204 nt
Filed under: Salmonella enterica subsp. enterica serovar Anatum
Lineage: Bacteria; Pseudomonadati; Pseudomonadota; Gammaproteobacteria; Enterobacterales; Enterobacteriaceae
Description: partial 23S ribosomal RNA
Rfam family: Bacterial large subunit ribosomal RNA
Source: RNAcentral